This 105-nucleotide ribosomal RNA is filed under the name Gracilibacteraceae bacterium. The record is from RNAcentral. Lineage: Bacteria; Bacillati; Bacillota; Clostridia; Eubacteriales; Gracilibacteraceae.
UCUGGCGGCUAUACCGGAGGGGUUCCACCCGUUCCCAUCCCGAACACGGAAGUUAAGACCUCCAGGGCCGACAAUACUUAACGGGAAGAUAGGUCGUCGCCAGGU